AACGAACGCUGGCGGCAUGCCUAACACAUGCAAGUCGAACGGGAUCCUAGCUUGCUAGGUGAGAGUGGCGGACGGGUGAGUAACACGUGGGAAUCUGCCUUUUGGUUCGGGAUAACCGCGGGAAACUGCGGCUAAUACCGAAUGCCCUCGAGAGAGGAAAGAUUUAUCGCCAGAAGAGGAGCCCGCGUCCGAUUAGGAGUUGGUGGGGUAAAGCCUACCAAGCCGACGAUCGGUAGCUGGUCUGAGAGGAUGAUCAGCCACACUGGGACUGAGAUACGGCCCAGACUCCUACGGGAGGCAGCAGUGGGGAAUAUUGGACAAUGGGGGCAACCCUGAUCCAGCAAUGCCGCGUGAGUGAUGAAGGCCUUAGGGUU
Molecule: ribosomal RNA, 374 nt
Filed under: uncultured bacterium
Lineage: Bacteria
Description: bacterial SSU rRNA
Rfam family: Bacterial small subunit ribosomal RNA
Source: RNAcentral